AUAUUUAUAGGUGAUAGUUGUAAAAAAAUUGGGAAUGGGUGGUAUUUUUAGUUAAAAUUAUGAAAAGGGUGGCAUUUUAAGCUAUUUCCCUAAAAUGCCACCCAUUUCAUAAUUUUAGCUAAAAAUACCACCCUUUCCCAAUUUUUUUACAACUAUAACCUAUAAAUAU
Molecule: microRNA precursor, 169 nt
Filed under: Prunus dulcis (almond)
Lineage: Eukaryota; Viridiplantae; Streptophyta; Magnoliopsida; Rosales; Rosaceae
Description: sRNA ncRNA
Source: RNAcentral